UUAAGCGACUAAGCGUACACGGUGGAUGCCCUGGCAGUCAGAGGCGAUGAAGGACGUGCUAAUCUGCGAUAAGCGUCGGUAAGGUGAUAUGAACCGUUAUAACCGGCGAUUUCCGAAUGGGGAAACCCAGUGUGUUUCGACACACUAUCAUUAACUGAAUCCAUAGGUUAAUGAGGCGAACCGGGGGAACUGAAACAUCUAAGUACCCCGAGGAAAAGAAAUCAACCGAGAUUCCCCCAGUAGCGGCGAGCGAACGGGGAGGAGCCCAGAGCCUGAAUCAGUGUGUGUGUUAGUGGAAGCGUCUGGAAAGGCGCGCGAUACAGGGUGACAGCCCCGUACACAAAAAUGCACAUGCUGUGAGCUCGAUGAGUAGGGCGGGACACGUGGUAUCCUGUCUGAAUAUGGGGGGACCAUCCUCCAAGGCUAAAUACUCCUGACUGACCGAUAGUGAACCAGUACCGUGAGGGAAAGGCGAAAAGAACCCCGGCGAGGGGAGUGAAAAAGAACCUGAAACCGUGUACGUACAAGCAGUGGGAGCACGCUUAGGCGUGUGACUGCGUACCUUUUGUAUAAUGGGUCAGCGACUUAUAUUCUGUAGCAAGGUUAACCGAAUAGGGGAGCCGAAGGGAAACCGAGUCUUAACUGGGCGUUAAGUUGCAGGGUAUAGACCCGAAACCCGGUGAUCUAGCCAUGGGCAGGUUGAAGGUUGGGUAACACUAACUGGAGGACCGAACCGACUAAUGUUGAAAAAUUAGCGGAUGACUUGUGGCUGGGGGUGAAAGGCCAAUCAAACCGGGAGAUAGCUGGUUCUCCCCGAAAGCUAUUUAGGUAGCGCCUCGUGAAUUCAUCUCCGGGGGUAGAGCACUGUUUCGGCAAGGGGGUCAUCCCGACUUACCAACCCGAUGCAAACUGCGAAUACCGGAGAAUGUUAUCACGGGAGACACACGGCGGGUGCUAACGUCCGUCGUGAAGAGGGAAACAACCCAGACCGCCAGCUAAGGUCCCAAAGUCAUGGUUAAGUGGGAAACGAUGUGGGAAGGCCCAGACAGCCAGGAUGUUGGCUUAGAAGCAGCCAUCAUUUAAAGAAAGCGUAAUAGCUCACUGGUCGAGUCGGCCUGCGCGGAAGAUGUAACGGGGCUAAACCAUGCACCGAAGCUGCGGCAGCGACACUGUGUGUUGUUGGGUAGGGGAGCGUUCUGUAAGCCUGUGAAGGUGUACUGUGAGGUAUGCUGGAGGUAUCAGAAGUGCGAAUGCUGACAUAAGUAACGAUAAAGCGGGUGAAAAGCCCGCUCGCCGGAAGACCAAGGGUUCCUGUCCAACGUUAAUCGGGGCAGGGUGAGUCGACCCCUAAGGCGAGGCCGAAAGGCGUAGUCGAUGGGAAACAGGUUAAUAUUCCUGUACUUGGUGUUACUGCGAAGGGGGGACGGAGAAGGCUAUGUUGGCCGGGCGACGGUUGUCCCGGUUUAAGCGUGUAGGCUGGUUUUCCAGGCAAAUCCGGAAAAUCAAGGCUGAGGCGUGAUGACGAGGCACUACGGUGCUGAAGCAACAAAUGCCCUGCUUCCAGGAAAAGCCUCUAAGCAUCAGGUAACAUCAAAUCGUACCCCAAACCGACACAGGUGGUCAGGUAGAGAAUACCAAGGCGCUUGAGAGAACUCGGGUGAAGGAACUAGGCAAAAUGGUGCCGUAACUUCGGGAGAAGGCACGCUGAUAUGUAGGUGAAGCGACUUGCUCGUGGAGCUGAAAUCAGUCGAAGAUACCAGCUGGCUGCAACUGUUUAUUAAAAACACAGCACUGUGCAAACACGAAAGUGGACGUAUACGGUGUGACGCCUGCCCGGUGCCGGAAGGUUAAUUGAUGGGGUUAGCGCAAGCGAAGCUCUUGAUCGAAGCCCCGGUAAACGGCGGCCGUAACUAUAACGGUCCUAAGGUAGCGAAAUUCCUUGUCGGGUAAGUUCCGACCUGCACGAAUGGCGUAAUGAUGGCCAGGCUGUCUCCACCCGAGACUCAGUGAAAUUGAACUCGCUGUGAAGAUGCAGUGUACCCGCGGCAAGACGGAAAGACCCCGUGAACCUUUACUAUAGCUUGACACUGAACAUUGAGCCUUGAUGUGUAGGAUAGGUGGGAGGCUU
This 2128-nucleotide ribosomal RNA is filed under the name Escherichia coli. RNAcentral describes it as "bacterial LSU rRNA". It matches the Rfam family "Bacterial large subunit ribosomal RNA", at positions 1 to 2157 of the family's 2925-position model. The record is from RNAcentral. Lineage: Bacteria; Pseudomonadati; Pseudomonadota; Gammaproteobacteria; Enterobacterales; Enterobacteriaceae.